RNAcentral lists this ribosomal RNA (253 nucleotides) under uncultured bacterium. RNAcentral's name for it is "partial 16S ribosomal RNA". It matches the Rfam family "Bacterial small subunit ribosomal RNA", at positions 524 to 776 of the family's 1533-position model. The record is from RNAcentral.
UACGUAGGUGGCAAGCGUUGUCCGGAUUUACUGGGCGUAAAGAGCGCGCAGGCGGUCGUUCAAGUCGCGUGUGAAAGCCCCCGGCUCAACUGGGGAGGGUCACGCGAUACUGAUCGACUCGAAGGCAGGAGAGGGAAGUGGAAUUCCCGGUGUAGUGGUGAAAUGCGUAGAUAUCGGGAGGAACACCAGUGGCGAAGGCGGCAUCCUGAACUGGUCCUGACACUCAUGAGCGAAAGCGUGGGGAGCGAUCCGG